This 497-nucleotide ribosomal RNA is filed under the name uncultured bacterium. Its description in RNAcentral is "partial 16S ribosomal RNA". It matches the Rfam family "Bacterial small subunit ribosomal RNA", at positions 28 to 507 of the family's 1533-position model. The record is from RNAcentral.
GAUGAACGCUGGCGGCGUGCCUAAUACAUGCAAGUCGAGCGAACAGAUGAGGAGCUUGCUCCUCUGACGUUAGCGGCGGACGGGUGAGUAACACGUGGAUAACCUACCUAUAAGACUGGGAUAACUUCGGGAAACCGGAGCUAAUACCGGAUAAUAUAUUGAACCGCAUGGUUCAAUAGUGAAAGACGGUUUUGCUGUCACUUAUAGAUGGAUCCGCGCCGCAUUAGCUAGUUGGUAAGGUAACGGCUUACCAAGGCGACGAUGCGUAGCCGACCUGAGAGGGUGAUCGGCGACACUGGAACUGAGACACGAUCCAGACUCCUACGGGAGGCAGCAGUAGGGAAUCUUCCGCAAUGGGCGGAAGCCUGACGGAGCAACGCCGCGUGAGUGAUGAAGGUCUUCGGAUCGUAAAACUCUGUUAUUAGGGAAGAACAAAUGUGUAAGUAACUAUGCACGUCUUGACGGUACCUAAUCAGAAAGCCACGGCUAACUACGUG